Molecule: long non-coding RNA, 1243 nt
Filed under: Cervus hanglu yarkandensis (Yarkand deer)
Lineage: Eukaryota; Metazoa; Chordata; Mammalia; Artiodactyla; Cervidae
Description: lncRNA (ENSCHYG00000024898.1)
Source: RNAcentral
UUUUUUCUUUACUUAGAUUUUUGUUAGGUCUGUACAGAGGAAAAAAAUAAUACUGAUAGAAUAUUCUCUGAGAAGAUAUAAUGCCCUCCAGCCAAUAGUUCUAGAAUAACCAGAAAUUACUUUUCAAAACCCUGUUAUUUUCUUAGAAAAUGUCAACUGCUUAGUAGCCAAGGAAUCCAAAAAAGACUGCCGAUGUCUCAUAGAUAACAUGAGCUAGACAUCCCAUGAGAGCGGUAUAGGUCUCUGUGGCCAACCCACGUGACCUGGGAGCUACCCAGAGAUCUACAAAUGCCAUCCUCCCAGGGACUGUUUGAGCCUCACUGGCAUUCAGCAACCUAACUCCCACAUUUCUGUAGAUGUGAGAAGGUGGAAGGACUCCUACUCAUCACGUGUGUGUAAAUACUCAGACAGAUUUAGUCACAGGUCUCCUCCACCUAAAUUUGGUUCUUGACGUGUGUUCAAAUUCUUUUCACACACACAAAUACACCCACCUAUUACCAUUUCUAUAAAUAAUCCCUCCUCUGCAGGCCUGGUAUGAAACUCUAAUUAGGGUUAGUCAGCAUUUACAAAGUGGUUUGUGCUUUUCUCGAGGCGAAGUUCCAGGAGCUGGAGCGCUUCACGACCAUUCCCUCUAGUGUGCCUGUGCAUAAAAGCUCUCCGAGGUCAGGGAGAGUUGUGGAGCCAGCCUGUCACAUGCAGCAGAGAGCAGGUCAGAGCACGUGUCAGAAGCCGAAUCCCCCGCCUCAGAAGCGGUCUGAAACAGCAGCAUGCAGCUGUUAAUGGAAGGAAGGAGCAGAAUAAGAACACAUUAAACCUUAAACUGAGAGAGAUCACUGUGAGAGAACAAGAGAAGUGGAACCACUUCAGAAUGAGACGUUUUGCACCUCUGGCAGUUUUCGGUCAAAGCUACUUAGACUGUGUAAGAAAACAUUCAAAAGAAGAUAACAUGCUCUCCAUAUAUUCUUGAGUCAGUCCUGGAAGAAAUUUUGCAGGUGAAGACACAGCCUCUAGUACAGUACUUGGCAUGUAGCAGGUGUUCUAGAAACAUCUGUUAGAAGGAAGGAGAUGCUCAGUGAACGUGCCCUGCUGGGCUCCAGGUCGUAAUUUAGAGCAGUGCUUUUCAACCUUUAACGUGCAAACCAGCCAUAUUCUGAUUGAGUUGGUUUGAGACAGGCCUGAGAUUCUUCAUUUCUAACCAGAUUUGAGCUGCUUCUGCUGCUACUAGUUCAGACCAUGCUUUGAG